Molecule: long non-coding RNA, 1044 nt
Filed under: Olea europaea subsp. europaea
Lineage: Eukaryota; Viridiplantae; Streptophyta; Magnoliopsida; Lamiales; Oleaceae
Source: RNAcentral
AAGAGGUAUGGGCAACCGGUCAUAGGUUUGUACACACUAUGCGCAACAACACCUGACGAUCAGUAGGUAAUGACCCCGUAGCCAUCGCCGAAGGCCCCCCGAUAGACGGGGUGUUUAAAAGCGUCGACCGAACAAGAGAAUCGGCCGGAAUAGAAGCAGGUAAAAUAUAGGGAUAAGUCGGAUGGGUAAUAUGAGGUAUACCUAAAGCAUGAGCUACAGCUGACGGAGUAACCCUAAAAGAAUGACCUCUAAGAGUAACCCGAAAAGACGAGCCGUCGAUAUCAUGAAUGUUAGCAUAGAAUUCUUGCACAAGGAGUGGGGGAGGAGGCGAAAGACCAACAAGAAGGGGCUCCCAACCCCGGGAAACAAAAGUGGCGGCGAUAUCAACAGGAAGGUCAGAGAGGAUUACCUCACGCUCCAUGAGAACGGGGCGUAAGGAGAACUGAGAAGUGAAGACCUCCUGAGCUGUAGCAGAAAUGAAUCUGGAACGACUAUAUGACGUCGAACCACUAGCUGGUUGCGCAGAAGGUCGAGAACGCUUACGGGCUAUCUGACACAUGGAGAGAUUGAACUCAAUUAGGAAGAUGAAGAAUGCACGAGGUACGAUGCAAUAUGAACUGAAACAUCGCACACACAAAUGAGGCACGAAAGAGAUGCAUCCAAAAGCGUGAACGACCUUAAGAUCAAACCAAGCAUGAUGGAAAUAUUCACCAAAAAUAUGUGUAAAAACACUCAACAAGUCACGUGACGAGAAUGAAACAAAGGCGGAAUGAAGAGGAGGAAAAAAAAAACGAAACACACAAACUAAGAAAAAAAGAAAAACCAAAUAAAACAAAACAGGGGACUUUCAUCGAACACAUGACGGGCGUCACUUCGGCACAUAAUUCCAAACACAUACGAGACCCAAGCAUGCAUCCAAGCAUAGUCCCACAAACUAGAAUCCAAGGGCUUUAAAAUGAAACAAACCAUACAUCAAACGGAUUAACGGAAUGCAAGAACCAACAACACGAACAUAGACGAAAAAACACGAAAAUUCCAUUAAUA